GAUUAAGUUAUUAAGGGCGCACGGUGGAUGCCUUGGCACUAGAAGCCGAUGAAGGACGUUACUAACGACGAUAUGCUUUGGGGAGCUGUAAGUAAGCUUUGAUCCAGAGAUUUCCGAAUGGGGAAACCCAGCAUGAGUUAUGUCAUGUUAUCGAUAUGUGAAUACAUAGCAUAUCAGAAGGCACACCCGGAGAACUGAAACAUCUUAGUACCCGGAGGAAGAGAAAGAAAAUUCGAUUCCCUUAGUAGCGGCGAGCGAAACGGGAAGAGCCCAAACCAACAAGCUUGCUUGUUGGGGUUGUAGGACACUCUAUACGGAGUUACAAAGGACGACAUUAGACGAAUCAUCUGGAAAGAUGAAUCAAAGAAGGUAAUAAUCCUGUAGUCGAAAAUGUUGUCUCUCUUGAGUGGAUCCUGAGUACGACGGAGCACGUGAAAUUCCGUCGGAAUCUGGGAGGACCAUCUCCUAAGGCUAAAUACUCUCUAGUGACCGAUAGUGAACCAGUACCGUGAGGGAAAGGUGAAAAGCACCCCGGAAGGGGAGUGAAAUAGAACCUGAAACCAUGUGCUUACAAGUAGUCAGAGCCCGUUAAUGGGUGAUGGCGUGCCUUUUGUAGAAUGAACCGGCGAGUUACGAUUUGAUGCAAGGUUAAGCAGUAAAUGUGGAGCCGUAGCGAAAGCGAGUCUGAAUAGGGCGUUUAGUAUUUGGUCGUAGACCCGAAACCAGGUGAUCUACCCUUGGUCAGGUUGAAGUUUCAGGUAACACUGAAUGGAGGACCGAACCGACUUACGUUGAAAAGUGAGCGGAUGAACUGAGGGUAGCGGAGAAAUUCCAAUCGAACCUGGAGAUAGCUGGUUCUCUCCGAAAUAGCUUUAGGGCUAGCCUCAAGUGAUGAUUAUUGGAGGUAGAGCACUGUUUGGACGAGGGGCCCCUCUCGGGUUACCGAAUUCAGACAAACUCCGAAUGCCAAUUAAUUUAACUUGGGAGUCAGAACAUGGGUGAUAAGGUCCGUGUUCGAAAGGGAAACAGCCCAGACCACCAGCUAAGGUCCCAAAAUAUAUGUUAAGUGGAAAAGGAUGUGGCGUUGCCCAGACAACUAGGAUGUUGGCUUAGAAGCAGCCAUCAUUUAAAGAGUGCGUAAUAGCUCACUAGUCGAGUGACACUGCGCCGAAAAUGUACCGGGGCUAAACAUAUUACCGAAGCUGUGGAUUGUCCUUUGGACAAUGGUAGGAGAGCGUUCUAAGGGCGUUGAAGCAUGAUCGUAAGGACAUGUGGAGCGCUUAGAAGUGAGAAUGCCGGUGUGAGUAGCGAAAGACGGGUGAGAAUCCCGUCCACCGAUUGACUAAGGUUUCCAGAGGAAGGCUCGUCCGCUCUGGGUUAGUCGGGUCCUAAGCUGAGGCCGACAGGCGUAGGCGAUGGAUAACAGGUUGAUAUUCCUGUACCACCUAUAAUCGUUUUAAUCGAUGGGGGGACGCAGUAGGAUAGGCGAAGCGUGCGAUUGGAUUGCACGUCUAAGCAGUAAGGCUGAGUAUUAGGCAAAUCCGGUACUCGUUAAGGCUGAGCUGUGAUGGGGAGAAGACAUUGUGUCUUCGAGUCGUUGAUUUCACACUGCCGAGAAAAGCCUCUAGAUAGAAAAUAGGUGCCCGUACCGCAAACCGACACAGGUAGUCAAGAUGAGAAUUCUAAGGUGAGCGAGCGAACUCUCGUUAAGGAACUCGGCAAAAUGACCCCGUAACUUCGGGAGAAGGGGUGCUCUUUAGGGUUAACGCCCAGAAGAGCCGCAGUGAAUAGGCCCAAGCGACUGUUUAUCAAAAACACAGGUCUCUGCUAAACCGUAAGGUGAUGUAUAGGGGCUGACGCCUGCCCGGUGCUGGAAGGUUAAGAGGAGUGGUUAGCUUCUGCGAAGCUACGAAUCGAAGCCCCAGUAAACGGCGGCCGUAACUAUAACGGUCCUAAGGUAGCGAAAUUCCUUGUCGGGUAAGUUCCGACCCGCACGAAAGGCGUAACGAUUUGGGCACUGUCUCAACGAGAGACUCGGUGAAAUCAUAGUACCUGUGAAGAUGCAGGUUACCCGCGACAGGACGGAAAGACCCCGUGGAGCUUUACUGUAGCCUGAUAUUGAAAUUCGGCACAGCUUGUACAGGAUAGGUAGGAGCCUUUGAAACGUGAGCGCUAGCUUACGUGGAGGCGCUGGUGGGAUACUACCCUAGCUGUGUUGGCUUUCUAACCCGCACCACUUAUCGUGGUGGGAGACAGUGUCAGGCGGGCAGUUUGACUGGGGCGGUCGCCUCCUAAAAGGUAACGGAGGCGCUCAAAGGUUCCCUCAGAAUGGUUGGAAAUCAUUCAUAGAGUGUAAAGGCAUAAGGGAGCUUGACUGCGAGACCUACAAGUCGAGCAGGGUCGAAAGACGGACUUAGUGAUCCGGUGGUUCCGCAUGGAAGGGCCAUCGCUCAACGGAUAAAAGCUACCCCGGGGAUAACAGGCUUAUCUCCCCCAAGAGUUCACAUCGACGGGGAGGUUUGGCACCUCGAUGUCGGCUCAUCGCAUCCUGGGGCUGUAGUCGGUCCCAAGGGUUGGGCUGUUCGCCCAUUAAAGCGGUACGCGAGCUGGGUUCAGAACGUCGUGAGACAGUUCGGUCCCUAUCCGUCGUGGGCGUAGGAAAUUUGAGAGGAGCUGUCCUUAGUACGAGAGGACCGGGGAUGGACAUACCUCUGGUGUACCAGUUGUCGUGCCAACGGCAUAGCUGGGUAGCUAUGUGUGGACGGGAUAAGUGCUGAAAGCAUCUAAGCAUGAAGCCCCCCUCAAGAUGAGAUUUCCCAACUUCGGUUAUAAGAUCCCUCAAAGAUGAUGAGGUUAAUAGGUUCGAGGUGGAAGCAUGGUGACAUGUGGAGCUGACGAAUACUAAUCGAUCGAAGACUUAAUCAA
RNAcentral lists this ribosomal RNA (2925 nucleotides) under Staphylococcus aureus. RNAcentral's name for it is "23S ribosomal RNA". It matches the Rfam family "Bacterial large subunit ribosomal RNA". Lineage: Bacteria; Bacillati; Bacillota; Bacilli; Caryophanales; Staphylococcaceae. The record is from RNAcentral.